This is a long non-coding RNA of Girardinichthys multiradiatus, 261 nucleotides long. RefSeq lists it as uncharacterized. The record is from RefSeq and is a predicted model, not a curated record. The transcript is spliced from 4 exons. NCBI's taxonomy places the organism in Eukaryota, Metazoa, Chordata, Actinopteri, Cyprinodontiformes, Goodeidae.
CCGAUAGAUAAGCUAGGUUUCCCAUAAUGCACUCACCAGCUGCGGUCAAUGGAGAAGUGCUGCUGUUUAUGCCUAAGGCAACACAAGGAAAUCAGAAGGACUUUCUCUGAAAAAUAAGAUCACACUAUUGUUGCUUAGUCAGAUGGGCAUCAGAAGAAACUGGUAAAUACUUUGCUGGUUUUACUGGUUGGGUCUCGGACCUAGAGAGAAACGGACCAGGUGGUGAACAGGGAGGAAAAAGAGUAAAAACUUUUUACAAAA